Molecule: non-coding RNA, 50 nt
Organism: Nitrosospira sp. 56-18
Lineage: Bacteria; Pseudomonadati; Pseudomonadota; Betaproteobacteria; Nitrosomonadales; Nitrosomonadaceae
Source: Rfam
UGGGGACCUAGCAGCCUCCCCAUUCAAGACGCUUAGCGUCCAAGGCCUGC